GUAGGUGGCAAGCGUUGUCCGGAAUUAUUGGGCGUAAAGCGCGCGCAGGCGGUCCUUUAAGUCUGAUGUGAAAGCCCACGGCUCAACCGUGGAGGGUCAUUGGAAACUGGGGGACUUGAGUACAGAAGAGGAAAGCGGAAUUCCAAGUGUAGCGGUGAAAUGCGUAGAGAUUUGGAGGAACACCAGUGGCGAAGGCGGCUUUCUGGUCUGUAACUGACGCUGAGGCGCGAAAGCGUGGGGAGCAAACAGGGAUUAGAUACCCUGGUAGUCCACGCCGUAAACGAAGAGUGCUAAGUGUUAGGGGGUUUCCCGCCCCCUUAGUGCUGCAGCUAACGCAUUAAGCACUCCGCCUGGGGAGUACGGCCGCAAGGCUG
RNAcentral lists this ribosomal RNA (374 nucleotides) under uncultured organism. RNAcentral's name for it is "partial 16S ribosomal RNA". It matches the Rfam family "Bacterial small subunit ribosomal RNA", at positions 527 to 896 of the family's 1533-position model. The record is from RNAcentral.